RNAcentral lists this microRNA (19 nucleotides) under Echinococcus granulosus. RNAcentral's name for it is "egr-miR-10277-3p". Lineage: Eukaryota; Metazoa; Platyhelminthes; Cestoda; Cyclophyllidea; Taeniidae. The record is from miRBase by way of RNAcentral.
UACACACACGUGCGCACGA